RNAcentral lists this long non-coding RNA (1221 nucleotides) under Marmota monax (woodchuck). The record is from RNAcentral. Lineage: Eukaryota; Metazoa; Chordata; Mammalia; Rodentia; Sciuridae.
CUCAGAACCAGGACGCCAAACUCAGGCCUGGGCACUUGUCUUGUUUUCCUUCUGCUUCUCCUAGUGUGUGUGUGUGUGUGUGUGUGUGUGGUGUGGUGUGGUGGUGGUGGUAUUAGGGAUCAACCCAGGGUUGCUCCCAUCCCCAGCCCUUUUUAUUUUUAUUCUGAGGCAGGGUCUUGCCAAGUUGCCCAGACUGGCCUCAAGCUUGCCAUCCUCCUGGCUCAGCCUCCUCAGUCCUGAGUAAGUGCGGUAUCUAUCUCCUUUAGGACACUACUGGCUCAUGGCCAUGGGCAUAGGGGUUGGCUCCCAGAUGUGAAAAGAAUGCCUUACGACAUCCUUGAGUCUUUUUUUUCCCCAGUAUUGGGGGUUGAACCCAAGCGUGCUCUAUCACCCUUGAGCUAUAUCCCAGUCCUGUUUAUUUUAUUUUUGAGAUAGGGUUUCUCUAAAUUGCAAGAGCUGGCUUUGAACUUGUGAUCUUCCUGCCUCAGUCUCCCAAGUCACUGGGAUUACAGGCGUGUGCUACCGCACUGGACAUCCUUGGGCCUGUAUUAGCACCCAGUGGCCUCCCAAUAAAUUCUUUAGCCUGACAUCCACAGUUCCCCUGCCAGACCUUCCAAACUCAGCUCCUGCAUCAACCUCUCCUCCUUUCCCAUGAUGCCUAGCCAUGCUAGCCUUCACUGCUUAGGACCUGCCCUAGCACAGCCUCUCUACCACUCUUCCCCCUGCUGAAAUGCUCUUGUCUCAUCAAAACAUACAUUCCCACCACCUGUUUCCAUAUGGGAACGCUGUGCUGUAGCAACUGACCUGGCCUUUCACCUAUCGUCUUAAGCUAUGUUUUACAAACUAGUAUAUCAGUAAUUGUAGCAAAUCGUAUUUUCUUUCCUUUCCUUUUUUUUGGGGAGGAGGAUGCUGGGAAUCCAACUCAGGGUCUCACACACAUGCACACUAGGCGAGCACCCUACCACUGAGCUACAUCCCCAGCUCAGCAAAUCGUAUUUUUCAACAAAGAUAACCUCUCCUGGGUGUGGUGGCACAUGCCUGUAAUCCCAUUUACUCAGGGGACUGAGACAGUAAAAUCUCAAAUUGGAGGUCAGCAUAGGCCAUUUAGCAAGACCCUUCCUUAACAUAUUAAUUAAUUAAUUAAUUAAUUAAGAAAAGGUGGGAGGAUGCAGUUCAGUGGUAGAGUGGUUGUUUAGAAAGCACAAAGUCCUGAGUUUGUUC